CUGCAGAGGAGGCGGCCCUGAGAGUCCCACGCCGAAGCUAAGCGUUCCAGACCAACGCGCCUUUGCCGGCUUCGAGGUUUCCUGCAGGAAUAGUACUCUGUAGGGAAGAAAGAGGCCAACAGCUCUGUUCAGUGAGAAGACUCAGUGGGCGCUGGUGUGCUUUGAGGCAUCAGAAGAGACUUGACUCACCAAAGAAUUUUUCUCAUAAAACCUGACACCCUGCUGCUGAUGAGAACUUGGAUCCGGAAAUGAGUGGAAUGGAGAGCAGAGGCAAGGGAAAUGUGGAGAGCAUAGGGAGUAAGUGUGGACACCAGACCACGUGGCAAGAGCACCAGGAAGAACUAGGAAAAGCAUGGCCAAAGAUUUCAUCCUAGGGAGCAAAUUUCUAGGGAACAAAUGGUUUCAGGCUUGCGAAGCCUCCGUUCCUGACUUUCUACUCUCAGUUUGAAGAACUUCAGUGGGUUCAGGGUGCUAGGACUGGGCCCCUGUUAUCUGGGACCUGAGCCUGCAGUGAUUCCUGACAGUUGGGAGGCUGAGGAAAAGAUUUGGAUGAGGGUUGAUUGGGGUUGGAGAAGAUGGCUGAGGUGCCUCUCAACGCAGAAGACAUGGCUGUGAGGUUCACAGAUGGAUGCCAAACUGAAUCAAUGUUUCCAAGUUGUGGGAAGAAAAAAAAAAGGGAAAAUGCACCUAUCAGUGCAAGAAUGCUGACUGCUCUUUCUUAGGGCUUUACUUUCAGCUGAGAGGCCUGUAAACCCCACUCUGGUAGCUGCUGAGAGCUCUUUAAAAGUUCUGCUUUUCAAACCAGAGGACCAGACAGCCACCCAGGAGGAGUGCGGAAUCUCUUUGAAGUGUCAGUUUUACUGGAAGACUUUAGGGAAAAACAUUUUUGUAUUAAAAUAUAGAUAUUUAUGGUAAAAUAGUGUAUAUAUACACAUGUAGUAUUGCUUUAUAUAUACUAUAUAUAUAUGUUUAUAUAUAUGUAAUAGGAGAAAGGUAUGUGCCUGAUUUCUAAGAGACAGUACAAAAUUUGAAAGAAAGAGUUUGACCAGAAUCUUCUGGGCUAAGAGAGCCUGUGGACUCCAAGUAUUCACACUUGUUCUGAUGAGUUGCUUUAAGAAUUUGAAACACUGCUGGUUUUCGGUGCUACCCUCUGUUGGGACUGUCAUUUUCUCUUGGUUUCUUUUGGAGACAAAGGCUUUACAACCAGAAGCCAUAAUGCAUUAUGGUGGUAUUUCAGGCAGCAUGAAAUGGAGUAGAGGGAGAGUUAGUUCCCAGAAGAGGCCUAGCAUUUAUCAAGUCCAUUCCUUCAAAUUCUCUCAGCCCCUGCUAGCUAGUCUCUGAGCAAUUACAGGAAAUGUCCAUUUCAUUCUGUUUGGAUAGUUUCUAAAUUAAACUGCUUAAGCUCAGUGUCUCUAACUGGAAAG
Long non-coding RNA from Condylura cristata (star-nosed mole), 1424 nucleotides. RefSeq lists it as uncharacterized. The transcript is spliced from 7 exons. The record is from RefSeq and is a predicted model, not a curated record. Lineage: Eukaryota; Metazoa; Chordata; Mammalia; Eulipotyphla; Talpidae.